Molecule: ribosomal RNA, 497 nt
Filed under: uncultured bacterium
Lineage: Bacteria
Description: partial 16S ribosomal RNA
Rfam family: Bacterial small subunit ribosomal RNA
Source: RNAcentral
GAUGAACGCUGGCGGCGUGCCUAAUACAUGCAAGUCGAGCGAACAGACGAGGAGCUUGCUCCUCUGACGUUAGCGGCGGACGGGUGAGUAACACGUGGAUAACCUACCUAUAAGACUGGGAUAACUUCGGGAAACCGGAGCUAAUACCGGAUAAUAUAUUGAACCGCAUGGUUCAAUAGUGAAAGACGGUUUUGCUGUCACUUAUAGAUGGAUCCGCGCCGCAUUAGCUAGUUGGUAAGGUAACGGCUUACCAAGGCAACGAUGCGUAGCCGACCUGCGAGGGUGAUCAGACACACUGGAGCGGAGGCACGGUCCAGACGCCUACGGGAGGCAGCAGUAGGGAAUCUUCCGCAAUGGACGAAGACCUGACGGAGGAACGCCGCGUGAGUGAUGAAGGUCUUCGGAUCGUAAAACUCUGUUAUUAGGGAAGAACAAAUGUGUAAGUAACUAUGCACGUCUUGACGGUACCUAAUCAGAAAGCCACGGCUAACUACGUG